AGUGAACGCUGGCGGUAGGCCUAACACAUGCAAGUCGAACGGCAGCACAGUAAGAGCUUGCUCUUACGGGUGCGAGUGGCGGACGGGUGAGGAAUACAUCGGAAUCUACUUUUUCGUGGGGGAUAACGGAGGGAAACUUACGCUAAUACCGCAUACGACCUACGGGUGAAAGCAGGGGAUCUUCGGACCUUGCGCGAGUGAAUGAGCCGAUGUCGGAUGAGCUAGUUGGCGGGGUAAAGGCCCACCAAGGCGACGAGCCGUAGCUGGGCGGAGAGGAUGAUCAGCCACACUGGAACUGGGACACGGUCAAGGCGCCUACGGGAGGCAGCAGUGGGGAAUAUUGGACAAUGGGCGUAAGCAUGAUCCAGCCAGACCGCGUGGGUGAAGAAGGCCUUCCGGUUGUAAAGCCCUUUUGUUGGGAAAGAAAAGCAGCAGGUUAAUACCCAGCUGUUCUGACGGUACCCAAAGAAUAAGCACCGGCUAACUUCGUG
Molecule: ribosomal RNA, 491 nt
Filed under: uncultured bacterium
Lineage: Bacteria
Description: partial 16S ribosomal RNA
Rfam family: Bacterial small subunit ribosomal RNA
Source: RNAcentral